RNAcentral lists this ribosomal RNA (249 nucleotides) under uncultured bacterium. Its description in RNAcentral is "partial 16S ribosomal RNA". The record is from RNAcentral.
CUGCUGCCUUCCGUAGGAGUCUGGUCCGUGUCUCAGUACCAGUGUGGGGGACCUUCCUCUCAGAACCCCUACGCAUCGUCGUCUUGGUGGUCCGUUACACCGCCAACUAACUAAUGCGACGCAUGCCCAUCCGCCACCGGAAUUAACCUUUGGCACCAACAGGAUGUCCCGUCGAUGCAUUAUGCCGUAUUAGACGGAAUUUCUCCCGAUUAUCCGGCUGUGGCAGGCAGGUUGCACACGUGUUACUCA